Molecule: ribosomal RNA, 206 nt
Filed under: uncultured bacterium
Lineage: Bacteria
Description: partial 16S ribosomal RNA
Rfam family: Bacterial small subunit ribosomal RNA
Source: RNAcentral
CGCGUGGGCGGCUCAUAAAGGCUGUGGUGAAAGUUCGGGGCUCAACCUCGAAUCGGCCGUGGCGACUUGUGGGCUGGAGCACUGUAGAGGCAGGUGGAAUUCCGGGUGUAGCGGUGGAAUGCGUAGAGAUCCGGAAGAACACCAGUGGCGAAGGCGGCCUGCUGGGCAGUGGCUGACGCUGAGGCGCGACAGCGUGGGAGCAAACA